UGGUGAAUUUUUGACAAUAUUCUCACUCCUUAUCCAUCCCUUCCUCUUUCAUUAUUAAUUCCUUCUUUUUUUAAACUUCUUUUUUACUUCUCUAAACUUUCUUCCCUAAUACUGUUUUCUCCUUACUUUACCUUAAUAAUAAUCACCUUCUAACUACUUGCCAGCAGCCGCGGUAAUACGUAGGGUGCGAGCGUUGAUCGGAAUUACUGGGCGUAAAGCGUGCGCAGGCGGUUAUAUAAGAUAGAUGUGAAAUCCCCGGGCUCAACCUGGGACCUGCAUUUGUGACUGUAUAGCUAGAGUACGGUAGAGGGGGAUGGAAUUCCGCGUGUAGCAGUGAAAUGCGUAGAUAUGCGGAGGAACACCGAUGGCGAAGGCAAUCCCCUGGACCUGUACUGACGCUCAUGCACGAAAGCGUGGGGAGCAAACA
RNAcentral lists this ribosomal RNA (427 nucleotides) under uncultured bacterium. RNAcentral's name for it is "bacterial SSU rRNA". It matches the Rfam family "Bacterial small subunit ribosomal RNA", at positions 355 to 774 of the family's 1533-position model. The record is from RNAcentral.